Molecule: ribosomal RNA, 497 nt
Filed under: uncultured bacterium
Lineage: Bacteria
Description: partial 16S ribosomal RNA
Rfam family: Bacterial small subunit ribosomal RNA
Source: RNAcentral
GAUGAACGCUGGCGGCGUGCCUAAUACAUGCAAGUCGAGCGAACGGACGAGAAGCUUGCUUUUCUGAUGUUAGCGGCGGACGGGUGAGUAACACGUGGAUAACCUACCUAUAAGACUGGGAUAACUUCGGGAAACCGGAGCUAAUACCGGAUAAUAUUUUGAACCGCAUGGUUCAAAAGUGAAAGACGGUCUUGCUGUCACUUAUAGAUGGAUCCGCGCUGCAUUAGCUAGUUGGUAAGGUAACGGCUUACCAAGGCAACGAUGCAUAGCCGACCUGAGAGGGUGAUCGGCCACACUGGAACUGAGACACGGUCCAGACUCCUACGGGAGGCAGCAGUAGGGAAUCUUCCGCAAUGGGCGAAAGCCUGACGGAGCAACGCCGCGUGAGUGAUGAAGGUCUUCGGAUCAUAAAACUCUGUUAUUAGGGAAGAACAUAUGUGUAAGUAACUGUGCACAUCUUGACGGUACCUAAUCAGAAAGCCACGGCUAACUACGUG